UGACCGUAUCAGAUGAGGCCUCUGAGCUAGUGAUAGGUGGAUUCAUGACCAUAUGAGACAAGGCCUCUGAGCUAGUGAUAGGUGGAUUCAUGACCGUAUCAGACAAGGCCUCUGAGCUAGACAGCGCUGUGUGAGAAGUUCUGAGAACCAUGUGAAGUUGGAAUAUACUGUUUGGCACUAAGCCUGGCCAACACUCUUCUGUCCCAGCCUGACCUUUAACCUCUAGAUCAGGGGUAGUCAACUCUGACCCGACGAGAGCCUGCUGUUUUUCUGUUCUACCUGAUAACUAGUCAGUCAGCCAGCCAGUCAGCCAGCCAGUCAGUCACCAGAACCAGCGAGUCAGUCACCAGAACCAGCCAGCCAAUCAGCCAGCCGGCCAGCCAGUCAGUUACCAGAACCAGCCAGUCAGUCACCAGAACCAGCCAGCCAAUCAGCCAGCCGGCCAGCCAGUCAGUCACCAGAACCAGCCAGUCAGUCACCAGAACCAGCCAGCCAAUCAGCCAGCCGGCCAGCCAGUCAGUUACCAGAACCUGCCAGCCAGUCAGUCACCAGAACCAGCCAGCCAAUCAGCCAGUCAGUCACCAGAACCAGCCAGCCAAUCAGCCAGUCAGUCACCAGAACCAGCCAGUCAAUCAGCCUGCCAGUCAGUCACCAGAACCAGCCAGUCAAUCAGCCAGUCGGCCAGCCAACUAAUCAGUCCAUUGGUCCAGUCAAAUCAGCUUUAAAGCCUGUUGAACUUCCC
This is a long non-coding RNA of Oncorhynchus tshawytscha (Chinook salmon), 742 nucleotides long. The record is from Ensembl. NCBI's taxonomy places the organism in Eukaryota, Metazoa, Chordata, Actinopteri, Salmoniformes, Salmonidae.